RNAcentral lists this long non-coding RNA (1005 nucleotides) under Olea europaea (common olive). RNAcentral's name for it is "long non-coding RNA (OEUR_LNC013871)". Lineage: Eukaryota; Viridiplantae; Streptophyta; Magnoliopsida; Lamiales; Oleaceae. The record is from RNAcentral.
AUCAAUUGGCAAUUUGCAAUCUUCCAAUUCUCUUUUGUGUGCGACCCAUUAGGUUCCCGAUCACGAUGCCUAAUGACGUGAAAUAUUAUUUUGAUCUACUCAAAACUGAUAAAUUAAACACCCUUUUAAUUUAUCACAAAUUCACACUUGCCGUCCCAAAUUGACAUCUAACAAUGUAUCAGGGCAACACAUGUGACGGAAAAUGUCACGUGGUAUAACAAAAUCAAAAUUGUUCGUUUAUCAUGAAAUUACAAUCCUUUCGUCAAUAUGAUCCGAUCAACUACGAGAUAUGAAAGUGUGUCAAUCUCGAUUAUCGAUCAUAUCUUUCAUUCUACUAUUAAGUCAAUAUGAGUCGAAAACUCCUUUUCGACUUAUAUGUAUACCUUGGUCAAAGAUUUCGUUAUUGACUUAAUUGAACGAAAUGCAGAUCACAAUCUCUUACUAUCUAAGAGUGACGAAUCCUCUAUUGGUCAUUCACAAUCUUAAUAUGGUUCUUGAUAUACCCGAACGAUGUCGUAUUAACGGCCUUGGCAGAGUAACAUCCAACACCGUCAAAGCAUGACUGUCCUCAUAUAAGGCACUAUGAUGACCUCAAGUUAUAGGACCAAUUCCACUACCGAACGUUAGAGAUUAACCACUGACACUCAAAUAGUAAUCCAUGUGGAAUCUCUUAGCGGGUCUCCAAUGUUUUGUUCUAUAACAAAACAUCCACAUGUUCAUUUAAGUGUCACCACACUUUAACUCGUGAGAUCAGCUACUUACUUCACAAGUAAGAAAUGCCACACGUGAUGGUCUAACUGUAUUAACAAUAUCCGUAUCUCGUUAUUACUUACGAUCACGGUUUAUUCAAGAUCCAAUCAUACGUAAUUUGUAUCUCACAAUCACAACUCCUUGUAAUUAACAAAUCACUUAAACUUGGAUCUUCGGAUUCUAUUAUUAAAUAUUAUUUAUCACAAAAUUAAUUUAAAUAAAUAAUAGAUCUUGCCAAAAUUAAAUGCAUUAAAC